RNAcentral lists this small RNA (77 nucleotides) under Flavobacterium gillisiae. RNAcentral describes it as "Flavo-1 RNA". It matches the Rfam family "Flavo-1 RNA". Lineage: Bacteria; Pseudomonadati; Bacteroidota; Flavobacteriia; Flavobacteriales; Flavobacteriaceae. The record is from RNAcentral.
CCCUAGCCCCGAUAGCAGUGGAAAUCCUACUGAGCCGGGUUCGGCGAUGUAGAUUGUAGCGAAUAGCGGGAAAUAGC